Astyanax mexicanus (Mexican tetra) is the source of this 1091-nucleotide long non-coding RNA. RefSeq lists it as uncharacterized. The record is from RefSeq and is a predicted model, not a curated record. NCBI's taxonomy places the organism in Eukaryota, Metazoa, Chordata, Actinopteri, Characiformes, Acestrorhamphidae. The transcript is spliced from 6 exons.
AAGCAGUGAAAUUGAAUUUAAAAAGUCCACAGAAGGAGUUAGUUCGUUGUUAGGGGAGAUAAUUAGAUAGGAUUUUACGCCUUUUGUUUGCCUCGCGCUUAUUUCACUCAGCUCGAUUCAGGCGAGAUUAUGAACGCUGGUGGUUUGGCACAGAAGACGUUAAUGUAGGCUACUACUGAUGGCUGGACACCACGGCUAAUUGAUCCGUAUAGGCUACUGAUGGCUGGACACCACAGCUAAUUGAUGCAGUGUUGUGUUUUCCCCUGUUUACUGCCACCAGGAUGAUCGCGCCAGUUACCCAGGCUUGGCAGGAUCUGCAUGAGUCCAGACAAGACCUGACCUGGGCUGAUGAUGGGGCCAGCUAUGGUGGAAGCAGGAAGUGGACUUACAGCAGACGCAGGGAGCGCAGUCCAUCAAACGCAUGCACUGGCACACAUCGUAUCUGAUUAUAACUCAGGAUGCUGCAGAGACGGAAAAAGAGGGAGAGAGAAGGGGAGAAUGAGGAACAGCAGGAAAGAGAGGAAGCGAGAAAAAGAACAGAGCUGCAGUGAAAACCACAGACAGAAGAUGGAUUUGCAUGGUAUUAUGAAAACUGCAGUGGCAAGUACGAGUAAGAGGAGUAAUGUAUAAUAACUGUAGUUGUGUUUGUCCCCCACCACUUCUUGUCCUUCUUUCUUUUGUUUCUCUCCCUCUUGAUGCACUGUAUUGAUAAUAAUUGAUUAAUAUGUUUGUUUUAAUUUCUCUGUUUUAAUGUUUCCAAUGUUUCCACCUCUGAAUUAGUAAUAGUAGUAAUUUUUAUAUUUCGUUACAGUGAUACUCACUAUACAGUUAAACAUGACACGUGGAGCCACUAAAUAAAAUUCUUACUACCUUAUACCAAUGUUAUUUUUUAUCAUUUUCAGUCAGGCAAGAAUUUUAAGAAUUUUACAAAUAUUUUUUUAUAUUGUGCUGUCCUAAUCCCACAUAUAUACUCAGGUACAAGAAAGUGCAGAGUAGGAAAGAAGUGAACACAGCCCAGACUGAGACACCAGAAGAGAUGGGUGGGGUGAAGCGGGUGAAGUCUGAAAGAGUGAUGGAUGAGUGGAGCUGAU